CGCCCUAUUUUACUAACACGCCCUGGCAGCGAGCGCGCCCCCGUCAGGUCCCACUGACACCAACUAGAGGUAACGUUAACGCUAAUUGAGGACCUCUAACUGACUCGAGCGCAUACACUUUGAACCUGCUGGGGGCAACAUACCCCCUAUAUAAGGCGCGCCAGCCUCAGACUCGGCGCCUGAAGAGGUCCCGGAGCCAGAAGUACACCCCACCGGGUAGUUCGUCCUAGCUCCUGCCGCCACCCAGGGUUCGCCGCGGACCCCAGGAAAAAGUCUAUGUAUGCGCUAGGCUUCAUCGACAGUACUUCGGCCAUGGAGCGUAAUUUCGGGUGCAGCCACUACGACGUGGGCUUCCGCAGCCUGGGGGUCGGUAGGGAGGAGGAAGAACCGAAUGAGACGAAGCCUACCUUGGCCUCGUUGCUUUUAAGUGGAAGAGAGGAGAAUACAGCGUCCGAAUCUAAGUGCGGAGCGGCAGCAGUAAACUACGUUGGCACGAGAGAGCCGAACCCCUUCGACGACGAAAACCUGGAGGGCGGCUUUGGCGGCGGCUUGGCGCCCCCGCAGCAGCUGGAAGAGCCGCCCCCCCCCCCCAGCUGCGGUGGGGCCACUGAUCGCUGAGAGGAAGCAGCGCCGCUACCGCACCGCGUUCACCCAGUUGCAGCUGCAGGAACUGGAGGACAUUUUCCAUCGCGUUCAAUACCCCGACGUGUUCACGCGAGAAGAGAUCGCAGGACGUCUAAAUUUGACUGAAGCCAAAGUGCAGGUUUGGUUUCAAAACAGAAGGGCCAAGUGGAGAAGACACCAGAGGGCAAUGAUGCUCAGAAAUGUGGCCCUUGUUGCCUUGGGGCCUCCUGUGGGAGUAAUCUUUGAUGGGCCCUAUCAUGCAAUCCCUGUUCUGGACCCGGCAUGGAGAUGUGUUCCUCUGGUGCCUCGGGGCCUUAUGCCUCCUGGGCCAUCCCUACACCCUGGGCCUCCUGGGCCACCUCUGCCACCAGGGCCACCCAUGAUACCUAUACCACCCCUGCCACCUGUGCCUCCUUUUGCACUGGCCCCCGUAGGGGUGGCAUGGGCCCAUGUCAUCAAUGGUUAUUUCACAGGUCCCAUUUUCUAAAGUAUGGUCUUUGUGACAAUUUUUCCAAAGUGUUUUUUUCUGCCAGAUAUAAAUCGUGCAUAGUGCAAUAUUGAGUAAUUCUUCAAAUACAUGUUAAAUGAAUUGAAUAACUGAACAAAGUCAGUGCCUGUUGUUCUUGUAGAGUACCUUUUCAAUAAAGCAUUUUCAAUAAAGUUUCAAAUAAGUAAUA
Neofelis nebulosa (Clouded leopard) is the source of this 1301-nucleotide long non-coding RNA. RefSeq lists it as uncharacterized. NCBI's taxonomy places the organism in Eukaryota, Metazoa, Chordata, Mammalia, Carnivora, Felidae. The transcript has 4 exons. The record is from RefSeq and is a predicted model, not a curated record.